CCCUUAUAUCUAGAAUGUCCUUCGGGACUAUGGACAUAAACGCGCUCGUAAUAAGCGGAUCGGACCCGGGGGCGGUACCCGGCGACUCCACCAAAACCCGUUCAUUUGGCGGACAGAGGGGUCGAAACAGGAUCGACGAACGUCUAAAGGGGUUAGCUUUGUCUCGGUGAGUUACCACCGUUAUCGGUACACUUAAGCUAGUUGCAAAUGACAACAAAGCUCCAGUAGCCCUCGCAGCGUAAGCUGUGCGGAACACUGAAAAUUAAGUCCUUGCGCCUAGCAGCGUAAGGCGGGGUUCGCAGGCACCUGGCAACAGAAGCCUGCAUCUUCCCU
RNAcentral lists this transfer-messenger RNA (333 nucleotides) under Litoreibacter roseus. It matches the Rfam family "Alphaproteobacteria transfer-messenger RNA". From Rfam's summary of the family: Bacterial tmRNA, also known as 10Sa RNA or SsrA, is named for its dual tRNA and mRNA-like properties. Its role is to liberate the mRNA from a stalled ribosome. The record is from RNAcentral. Lineage: Bacteria; Pseudomonadati; Pseudomonadota; Alphaproteobacteria; Rhodobacterales; Roseobacteraceae.